RNAcentral lists this ribosomal RNA (301 nucleotides) under uncultured bacterium. RNAcentral describes it as "partial 16S ribosomal RNA". It matches the Rfam family "Bacterial small subunit ribosomal RNA", at positions 509 to 807 of the family's 1533-position model. The record is from RNAcentral.
CAGCAGCCACGGGAAAACGAAGGGGGCUAGCGUUGCUCGGAAUGACUGGGCGUAAAGGGCGCGUAGGCGGCGAUCAAAGUCAGGCGUGAAAUUCCUGGGCUCAACCUGGGGGCUGCGUUUGAUACUUGGUUGCUAGAGUGAGGAAGAGGGUCGUGGAAUUCCCAGUGUAGAGGUGAAAUUCGUAGAUAUUGGGAAGAACACCGGUGGCGAAGGCGGCGACCUGGUCCUUGACUGACGCUGAGGCGCGAAAGCGUGGGGAGCAAACAGGAUUAGAGACCCCUGUAGUCCCUGUCUCUUAUAC